RNAcentral lists this ribosomal RNA (460 nucleotides) under uncultured bacterium. Its description in RNAcentral is "partial 16S ribosomal RNA". It matches the Rfam family "Bacterial small subunit ribosomal RNA", at positions 338 to 795 of the family's 1533-position model. The record is from RNAcentral.
CCUACGGGAGGCUGCAGUGGGGAAUAUUGGUCAAUGGGCGCGAGCCUGAACCAGCCACGUAGCGUGAAGGAUGACUGCCCUACGGGUUGUAAACUUCUUUUAUAAAGGCAUAAAGUGAGGCACGUGUGCCUUUUUGUAUGUACUUUAUGAAUACGGAUCGGCUAACUCCGUGCCAGCCGCCGCGGUAAUACGGAGGUUCCGAGCGUUAUCCGGAUUUAUUGGGUUUAAGGGGGGCGUAGAUGGGUUGGUAAGUCAGUUGUGAAAGUGUGCGGCUCAACCGUAAAAUUGCAAUUGAUACUGGCAGUCUUGAGUACAGUUGAGGUAGGCGGAAUUCCUGGUGUAGCGGUGAAAUGCGUAGAUAUCACGAAGAACUCCGAUUGCGAAGGCAGCUUACUAGACUGCCACUGACAUUGAUGCUCGAAAGUGUGGGUAGCAAACAGGAUUAGAUACCCGUGUAGUC